CCUACGGGCGGCUGCAGUAGGGAAUAUUGCGCAAUGGGGGAAACCCUGACGCAGCGACGCCGCGUGAGUGAUGAAGGCCUUCGGGUCGUAAAACUCUGUCCUUAGGGAAGAAACCAAUGACGGUACCCGAGGAACAAGCCACGGCUAACUACGUGCCAGCAGCCGCGGUAAUACGUAGGUGGCGAGCGUUGUCCGGAAUUACUGGGUGUAAAGGGCGUGUAGGCGGGAAGGCAAGUCAGAUGUGAAAGCCCAUGGCUUAACUGUGGAAUUGCAUCUGAAACUGUUUUUCUUGAGUGCUGGAGAGGAAAGUGGAAUUCCUAGUGUAGCGGUGAAAUGCGUAGAGAUUAGGAGGAACACCAGUGGCGAAGGCGGCUUUCUGGACAGUAACUGACGCUGAGGCGCGAAAGCGUGGGGAGCAAACAGGAUUAGAUACCCUUGUAGUCAC
RNAcentral lists this ribosomal RNA (445 nucleotides) under uncultured bacterium. Its description in RNAcentral is "bacterial SSU rRNA". It matches the Rfam family "Bacterial small subunit ribosomal RNA", at positions 338 to 798 of the family's 1533-position model. The record is from RNAcentral.